AAGCUCACACCCUCUCCAGGCUUCCACUGAGUGCCUACAGCCUGGGCGAGUGCCAAGACAGGCAAGUGACAUCGGGAGGAAAUGCCACAGGCAUCAUUGCUUGUGGUCACAGGGAGCCGCAUCCCCAGCAGCCACAGCUCCUGGGGACUUUCCACUCCCGUGCCUGCGUGCCUGUUAAUGACCUAGGAAAAUUCCCUCACGGAGUAUCCAGACAGCCUGGGAGAAGCUCUGGCUUGGAUGGGCAGCAAGAUGGGUGUGGAUGCUCAGGGGACUGCAGCCACAGGAGUUGAAGCCAGGCCCCUACACUGCCCCAUUGUGCUCUCCCUGCAGCUUUGGUAGCACACACAGCACCCAGCUCACAACACAGAGCUUGUGUUUAAUACCAUGGUUACGUCUGGCUGCUGGGGACAGUUCUGGAUACAAAGAUUUCACUGCUGGUUGCUCAUACUUUGGCUUCAGGUCCAGAGGCUGUUGUUCCUCUCUCUGCCUUGGUGACACCUGUCUGGGAGGCACAGAGCUGUCUGGAUGGGUUCAGCUUCACCCAGGUGUCUGCAUGGUGUGCUGUGUGUGGACUGGAGGUCUGUUCAUUGCUGGGCCUCUUGAAGUUCCUGCAUGUCUAAGGAAUCUAAGAGUAUCUUAGAGUAUUAUACUCUAAGAGUAUAAUAAAGUAGUAGUCACUUUAUUAAACAGCUCUAUUAAAUAGCAUUUUAAAUGUCA
Long non-coding RNA from Prinia subflava (tawny-flanked prinia), 717 nucleotides. RefSeq lists it as uncharacterized. The record is from RefSeq and is a predicted model, not a curated record. The transcript is spliced from 2 exons. Lineage: Eukaryota; Metazoa; Chordata; Aves; Passeriformes; Cisticolidae.